This 436-nucleotide ribosomal RNA is filed under the name Helenozyma melibiosica. RNAcentral's name for it is "[Candida] melibiosica partial large subunit ribosomal RNA". It matches the Rfam family "Eukaryotic large subunit ribosomal RNA", at positions 157 to 656 of the family's 3401-position model. The record is from RNAcentral. Lineage: Eukaryota; Fungi; Ascomycota; Pichiomycetes; Serinales; Metschnikowiaceae.
CUAGGGGAUUUGGCCCAAACCUGCGCAAGUCCAUUGGAACAUGGCGCCCAAGAGGGUGAGAGCCCCGUCGCGCAGGCCGCAGCCUUGACAUCCCCCCGUCAAAGAGUCGAGUUGUUUGGGAAUGCAGCUCAAAGUGGGUGGUAAAUUCCAUCUAAAGCUAAAUAUUGGCGAGAGACCGAUAGCGAACAAGUACAGUGAUGGAAAGAUGAAAAGCACUUUGAAAAGAGAGUGAAACAGUACGUGAAAUUGUUGAAAGGGAAGGGCUUGCAAGCAGACACGAGUUCGCUCGGGCCAGCAUCAAUUUCGCGAGGUGGACAACACGCCAGGAAUGUGGCAGGCUCCGGCCUGUGUUAUAGCCUGCGCGCCAUACACCUCCGCGAGAUUGAGGCCUGCUCCAAAAGGAUGCUGGCGUAAUGGUUGCAAGUCGCCCGUCUUG